This 400-nucleotide ribosomal RNA is filed under the name uncultured bacterium. Its description in RNAcentral is "partial 16S ribosomal RNA". It matches the Rfam family "Bacterial small subunit ribosomal RNA", at positions 355 to 746 of the family's 1533-position model. The record is from RNAcentral.
UGGGGAAUCUUCCGCAAUGGACGAAAGUCUGACGGAGCAACGCCGCGUGAGUGAAGAAGGUUUUCGGAUCGUAAAACUCUGUCUUUUGGGGCGAACGUGAGUAUGGUGAACAAUCAUAGUCAGUGACGGUACCAAAGGAGGAAGCCACGGCUAACUACGUGCCAGCAGCCGCGGUAAUACGUAGGUGGCAAGCGUUGUCCGGAAUUAUUGGGCGUAAAGAGCGCGUAGGCGGAUAGUCAGUCUGUUGUAAAAGUGCGGGGCUCAACCCCGUGAUCGCAAUGGAAACAGCUAUUCUUGAGUGCAGGAGAGGAAAGUGGAAUUCCCCAGUGUAGCGGUGAAAUGCGUAGAUAUUGGGAGGAACACCAGUGGCGAAGGCGACUUUCUGGACUGUGUCUGACGC